UGUCCUCAACAACAUGAUAUAGUUUCCUCUGUCUCACUGAGAAAUUUUUCUAGGUAAAUUACAUAGCCUUCCUUGCUAUAUGAUAUAAUUUAUCGUGAGUUGGUACUUUAUACAUGUAUAGGGUGUAGUGGUCCAAAAGUCAGUGGGUAUAUGUUGGCCUCAAUUGCUCCGCCGUGUUUUACAUUUGAGAACUGUAGCUUUGCAGAUGUAAUGCCAUAUAACUGUUUUUACCAUGGUAAAUGGUUCGACGAGAUUCCGUCGUCGAAAUUUAUGGUUUUGCAUAUUUGCACAGUGGAACUAUCAGGUUUAUUAAGUAUCAACGUCUUUAUCAACGCAGCUGCGCAUAAUUAUUCUACUUAGUUUAACUCUCUUUCUAUUUUAGCUGAAUUCCAUUCCCUCCCUCUUCGAGAUGAUUGCUUCCGUCAAUUGCGAAGGACUCGCUCAAGAUAGAGAGAUAAUAUUAAGACGAGCGGAUCGAUAAAUCGAAGAAUUAAUUCAUAAACUCGAUUGUGUUUCAUAUAGUUUCAUCUGCAAGAUGGUAGACUUCUUCACUUCUCAGUUCUCAAAGCUCGACGAUCUUCAUAUUAUAUUAUACUUAUAGGAUAAAGGGUCAAAUUACAGAUAGUAAUUGAGAGCGGCUUUAGAAAUCAGGGAACGUGACCUAUACAUAGCAUAGAUUAUCUCUUAAUCAGCUGAAUUCUGUUCAACGAGUACAGUAGACACAAGACAACCUCAAGAAAGCUUCUAGACUACUCCGCUUACUGUCACAACACUAUUCAACCAACGAGUUUUCGAAGAUUAUCACCCUGGGACACUCUUCUGCUUCAUUCUCAAGGCACAACACCACAACUUCAGAAGAUGCAAGGAGCGUGUUCUUAACUCUCCAAAACGAAGGAGGGGAUCUGCAAUAAACAAAGACGAUAUAUUUUUGGCCAGAAAUUUGCGGAGUUCCUUCGUCUUGAUAUCGGUCUUGGCUGCAGUUGUAUCUCUCGAAAUCAGUGACGGUUUGAGGAGACACUGCAUCUCACUGCUCGGUGGAGACACGGGGAUAUGAAGCUGUUAAUCCCUCUUAAAGUCCACUGCACGUUGUCACAGAGCCUCAGUCCGAUCAGAGCAAGCAGCAAAGAUCAAAGGAGACUUUUCCUCCAAUGUCAAACAGAUAAAUUUCGACAGAAAACUUCUAGCAGACCUCGGAUGAUUUAGGAAAGUAAACAUACUUGCAAUCUGUAAGACAAGUGACUCUACAGGAACUAGCAAGAGGCAGAGAAAGUGAAGAAGAUUCGACGACCGAAGCCUAGCAGAUAAAAUAAUAGCCGAUGAAUUUGAUACGACAUCAUAAAAUACUGGAGUCCACAAAGGAGCAUGUCCUACUUUUCAGCCGCUCCUCAAUCGACAGAUCCUCUUGAUGGCUUGCAGACAUCACGUCCUUGAGGCGGAUCUUGUAAGAGGAUCUGCCUCUAAGCAACUGUUCGGUGACACAACAUCACUUGAAGUAACCCUUUUUAAGAUCAUGAAGACCUCCUGGGAAGAUCUCAAUCUGCAGAACAUUGUCCUUCCUGAUAUCCCUACUUGCAACAGGAACGGAAGAUCUUCUAUCCUUCAUUACUCAAAUCCGUCAACUCAACAACCAGCCCAGGAGAAUAAAAGGAAUUACUAGAGCUAAACUUAUCCAUGGAGAAAGCAUAGAGAUGAAGAAAGGAUGCGUCUUCCAGAUACAAAGACCUGGAGCUGACCACCAUGUCAGAUGGAUGGCUAAGUCCAUAUACAUUAUGAAAAUGAUUCUACUUCACUAGAUACCACUUCACUGGACGAAGAAGAGAGACGUGCAGAAGAUGGCUCACGUUGUUGUCUUCGUUUACUUAAGAGCUUGGUUCAACGCUCCUUUCCUUGAAUCUGCAGCCUCCGCCGACACCCGUUUGUUACACUUACAGAGUCUUCAGAAGUACAAGAGUGUGGACAGAGUAUUAGCCAUCAUCACGACAGUCCUCAAGACAUACCUUUAGAGCGAAGAACUCUCCUUGCAGCAAGAAUAGGCCAACAAACUCUUGAAGCAAUUCAAGUUGGAACUUGAAAACUUGUGUUCGGUUGUUAAUGUUAUUGAGCUUUAUGAACGUCAAAUAAGCCUAAUUGAUGAAAAAUUAUUCUGAUAUGUUUUGGUUUUAUGACCAGGGGUUAUGACAAAUAUAUAAUAAGGAUGUUGGUCUAGUUUCUCGUACGGGUUUUCAACAUACGCUUUAGUCCUACACUCUAGUUUGGGGUUGGAUUUUAAAUAGUCACUUGAAGUACGUGUUAAAGUAUCCUACGUGUUGGUCGAGUGUUGAGUGAUUAAACAUCUUGAUCGCAUGUUUAUUGUUUACUGUUUAGUGUAGACCUUGUUCAGUAGAAACUCAGUACGGUGGUCCGCGGUAAAUUUCAUUCUUUAUUAUACGAAAAUGCAUGACCUGCAUGAGGUAUGUUACCUGGGGACCCCAGGCUAUAAUGUUCCGCCGAAUAGAGAUUCGGCGGAAUGACAGACUAAGCGCCGCCCAGUAAGAGGUAUGAUAAUACUGGGUUUCGAAAUCUUUUAAAUAUCUAUUCGAUUGAGUCUUAUUACCUGGGGACCCCGUUUUAAAUUCUCAUAAACGUAUCAAUUGAAUAUAUUUACUAAAACUCAAGUCUCAUAUUAAAGUAUUAAUAUGACAACUGUGUUUAAGAACACAAAGCCCGGGGUCCCCGGGUAAAUUUAAAGCUAGGAAUCAUUAUAUUUAUAAGUGAAUUGUGUAUUUGGUACUGGCCAUAGUACUCCCGUCAAUCUAUUUGUCAUGUCAAUAGUUUACUGUUUACGAAUGAGUCCAUCAUGUACUGUUCUCUUUGAUGUAUGUAAUCAAAUUAUUAGAUUAUUAAAGUUAACAUUUUGUGAAAUGUCAAUCACUUUAUUAUAUUUACCUCAA
Molecule: long non-coding RNA, 2930 nt
Organism: Bolinopsis microptera
Lineage: Eukaryota; Metazoa; Ctenophora; Tentaculata; Lobata; Bolinopsidae
Exons: 8
Source: RefSeq, a predicted model, not a curated record